This 325-nucleotide ribosomal RNA is filed under the name uncultured eukaryote. RNAcentral's name for it is "partial 18S ribosomal RNA". It matches the Rfam family "Eukaryotic small subunit ribosomal RNA", at positions 1470 to 1796 of the family's 1831-position model. The record is from RNAcentral.
CCCUUAGAUGUCCUGGGCCGCACGCGCGCUACACUGAUGCAUUCAACGAGUUUUACCUUGGCCGAGAGGCCUGGGCAAUCUUUUAAACCUGCAUCGUGAUAGGGAUAGAUUAUUGCAAUUUUUAAUCUUGAACGAGGAAUUCCUAGUAAACGCAAAUCAUCAAUUUGCAUUGAUUACGUCCCUGCCCUUUGUACACACCGCCCGUCGCACCUACCGAUUGAAUGGUCCGGUGAAGCCUCGGGAUUGUGGCCAGUUCACUUUAUUGGGAGUUGGCUGUGAGAACUUGUCUAAACCUUAUCAUUUAGAGGAAGGUGAANUCGUAACA